Molecule: long non-coding RNA, 32106 nt
Filed under: Malus domestica (apple)
Lineage: Eukaryota; Viridiplantae; Streptophyta; Magnoliopsida; Rosales; Rosaceae
Description: long non-coding RNA (MDOM_LNC007062)
Source: RNAcentral
CUCCCUCAAUCCUUCAACCCGAAACCCACACUUCACCUACCAUUCAAUCCCUGUUGACUUGACAGAAACCGAGGCCUCCAUCAAGGAUCUCACCGUUGUUCUUUCUAUUCUAAAUGCUAAAUGUGUUGAGCCUUUCAGAGAAUGCUUGGCCGGGUUGUUAUCCGAUGGCGUUCAUUCGGGGAACCCCAUUGCAUGCUUGAUCUCCGACCCUUUCUUUGACUUCACUCGAUCGGUUGCGGAGAGCUUUGAACUGCCGACGAUCAUGUUAAGGACUGGGAGUGCCGCUUCCUUGGCUGUUUAUGCUGCAUUUCCACUACUCAAGGAAAAGGGUUACCUACCAAUAUCAGGUAAAAUCUCAAGCCAACAAAACCCUGUUAUUACAUGUGUUUUAAUUUCAUCAUUGCACAUCUAAAUAAUAUGAGUAGAAUGAGGACACUGUACCGAGACUAAUGUCUCGUUUAGAAUUCUUUCUAUAAGUAAUAUUGUUGUUUUUUAUUCGUAAGAGAUUAUAAAAUGCUUUUGUUAUAAACAUGUCAAAAAUUUUAUUAAAAACUCAAGUGCUUCUUGGCAAAAACUUCGAAGUGAUUCUUCUUCUUCUUUAGAAAUAACUACAGAUCCAAAAAUGUUUUGGUAACUACAAAACACUUUUUAACUUUUCUAGAAGCGAUCCCAAAUUGGUACAUAAACAACUUAUGCAGAUUUGGAGUUGAGCAAUGAUACCCUUACCAUCUAUUUGUGUCAUCGCUCUAAUAAAGGUAGAACGUACCAACACAUGUGGUCUUAUCUCUAUUAGAGAGAUGAUACAAAUGAUGAUAUAAAUAGAUCGUAAACGUAGUAUUUUUGUUUGGAUUAAGAUAACUAGCUAGGUUAGCAUGUUUAGAGCAUUUCCAAUGAGGGACUCUAUAUGAAGCUAGAAAAGUGGUGGAUAUAGCUCAAUUUAGAGCUUCAAGGAAUCUUUAAGACUCUAAAAAUGAAUCUCUUACAAUGAGGGGCUAUAUACCCUUUUGGCUCUAUACGAGGCUAAAUACCUUUCAAGCUCUAUAUAGGCUAUAUAUUUAUGUAUGUAAUAAUUUGAUUAAUAAUUUGAUAACGCUGUAAAUUUAUUGUUAUCUUAACUUUUCUUAAGUUGGUUUUGGACGUGUUACCUUAAAUAUUUUAUGAACUUUUCAACCAAAAAACAUUUCAAAUUCUGACAAAAUUAGAUUUCAUCACCUAUGCACCGUUAGAUUAGGUUUUCUUAUCUUAAUCUCAUCCGUUGAUUUAUGUAUCGGUUUAGGUCUCUAAACUACCAAUGUUAAAUUUCAUCACUUUUUUUGUGAACUUUUCAAUCUAGAAGAUUAAGCAAAAAGCACAACAUUUUUUUCUUAAUUAAUAACACAGAAUAUAGCCAUUGUUUGUUUAUGUUUUCUUGAUUAAACAAAGUUGAAAAUAAAUUCUGAAAUCAUGUUUUGGCAGGAUUAGAAAUGGACCCCAUUUCUAAACUAAAAAACAAAAAAGAAACCAAGAUUGCGCUCUUAAUUUGGUGUGGGGUCUCUUGCUUUUUGGUGCUAGAUGUAGCCUUUUUUUUUUGCUACCAAAAUAAUGAAAUUGCUAGCCCAUGUGACAGAAUUAGCCUUAUUUUCCAGUUCAUUGGAGAUGAAAUUUUUCAUUAAAGCUACAAAUAUGGUAGCCUCGUUGAGGAUAAAGUUCCUAUUGAUGAUACUCUUAUCCUAUGCUCUCCCUCAUAAAUUAACAUUUUAGAAUAUGCACUAUCUUGUUAAAAGACAAAAUAUAUGUACUUACUAGAAAACUUGUGUUUGGCUUUCUAUUUUGACAGAAUAUAUAUAUAUAUAUAUAUAUAUAUAUAUAUAUAUAUAUAUAUAUAUAUAUAUACACUUGCUCAAAGUGUUUUAAUUGGAGUAGUGCUAUUCAUACACUAUUAGUAUUUUUUACUUUCCACAUAUCUAUAUUAGUUUAUAUUUAUUGAUUUUCUUCAAUUCAUUUGAUUCGACAGUCAGAUAUUAAGAGGGGUAUAUGAGAGAUAAAAUAGAUGUGUGUAUGGCACCCUUUAAUUGCCUAAAUUUAUAAUACAUGGUUGACUUGACUAUGUCUAUGUGUAUUAUUUAUUAGUCCAAAUAACUGAGUAAGGAUAUGAAGUGCUAGUCGUAACUUUCUCGUAGUGAUUACUUUGCCGAAAUAUUAGUCUUUUUAUUAAUCUUUUUUACAUAAUAUUACUUACUCACGUAUUAUAGAAAGAAUGUACCAAGAUUUAGACAAUUUAUUUUUGACUUUUUAUUUUGACAAUAAUUAGAUUCUCGGCUAGAAAUACCAGUGGCAGAGCUUUCACCUCUCAAAGUUAAAGACCUACCAACGAUGACGAAUUGCGACCCUGAGGUUUUUUAUCAAGUGAUAACCAACAUGGCAAAUGAACCCAAGGCUUCUUAUGGACUAAUUUUCAAUACUUUUGAAGAUCUUGAAGGACAUGCACUUGCCACAAUUCGCCAAAAAUAUUACCCCAAUAUUCCAAUUUUCUCACUAGGUCCAUUUCACAAGUGUGGUCCCACAACCUCUUCUUCUUCAAGUAGUUUAUUAGCACAAGACCAAAGUUGCAUUUCAUGGCUAGACACUCAAGCGCCAAAAUCUGUUGUUUAUGUUAGCUUUGGGAGCAUUGCUAGUAUAGAUCAAGCUCAAUUUUUGGAGAUUGCUUGGGGGUUGGUCAAUAGUGGCCAACCUUUUUUGUGGGUGGUUCGACUUGGAUUAGUUCAAGAGUCGAACUGGCUUGAAAAGUUGCCUAACGAGUUUACAGAAGCGUUGAACAAGAGGGCCCAUGUUGUGAAAUGGGCUCCACAAAAAGAAGUGUUGGCCCACCCAGCAGUUGGAGCCUUUUGGACUCACUGUGGUUGGAAUUCUACAUUGGAGAGCAUUUGUGAAGGGAUCCCUAUGAUUUGUACGCCAUGUUUUGGUGAUCAAAUGGUAAAUGCAAGAUAUGUGAGCGAUGUUUGGAAGGUAGGGUUGCAGUUGGAGCAUGGGAUUGAGAGAGGUGAGGUUGAAAGAACAAUUAGAAGACUCAUGGUGGAGGAAGAAGGGGAAGAGAUCAAAGACAGAGCCUUAAAGUUGAUGGAGGAGGCAAAUCUUUGCCUCAAAGGUGGUGGCUCUUCAUACCAGUCUUUGGAUGGGUUAAUUCAACAUAUUUUAUCAUUAUAAAUCGUUUGUUUCUAAAACUCAGCAUUGUUAUUGAAUAAAAUAAAAAAUAUUGUUGGUCUGCACUCUCCGGAUCUUUUCCACCAAGACACACAAUCCAGAUUUUUGAAAUUUGAUCAAACAGUUACAAAUAAAGGCUUACUUUAAAAAUUAUAAUAACUUUAGUCAUUGGAUCAAAUUUCAAAGGUCCGGAUUUUGUGCCUUGGUAAACUUGGUGGAAAGGAUCCGGCGUCUGCAACAUGUGUAUGUGUGUACAUAAAUUGGGGCUUUUAGCAAUGGAUUUUUCAAAGAUUAACCACACUUUUUUAAAAACCAUAUAUAUAUCGUGGAUAUUAUUAAUAGGAUGUUGAUAUUAACCACACUUCCGGCCAAGGAUUGGCUCUGAUACCAAAUUGUCACAUCCCGGCCUGGGCCCCCACCACAUCCCGGACUCGACUCUACCGUAGCACAAUAUUGUCCACUUUGGGCCUUUACCACGCCCUCACGGUUUUGUUUCUGGGAACUCACACGAGAACUUCCCAAUGGGUCACCUAUCAUGGGAUUGCUCUCAUGCGAACUCGUUUAACUUCAGAGUUCCGAUAGAACCCGAAGCCAGUGAGCUCCCAAAAGGUCUCGUGCUAGGUAGAGAUGAGAAUAUACAUAUAAGACUAACAUGAUCCACUCCCCUGGGCGAUGUGGGAUGUCACAUCAUUCCUUCAGAAUCCAAAUACCAUCCCAUAGUUAGGAGUCCAAUUGCUCCAAAUUUCGGAAUUGGAUUCCAAAAUUUAUGUGGGACCCACUAAUUUUUUAUUCCCUUAGAUUUGGUAAACACCGGAGUAUUCCGUAAUUAGAAUUCAAUUCUGUUUCUUGAUGCCGAUUAUCCUUACGUAAACGUGCCCUAAGUGCCUAACACACACAGACUCCCUGUAAUGGUAGGAGAGAAAAGGUCAGAGAUUGAUUUAUAAAAUAGAAAACUUUAUUUUAAUCCUUAAAAAAGAUGAGUUUUAAAUUAUAACCUUAUGUAAGAUUAAAAUCUAAUUUUAAUCUAUGAUACAUUUAAUCAUCUCAUUUAUUAAUUACAUUUUGAUGUUUUAUUUCUUUUUUCUUUCUUUCCUAUUUUAAAUGUAUUAAUUACAUUUAAUUUUCAUUUUCAUUUCAGUCAUCAUAAUAUAUUUUGAUGUCUCCAUUUAGGUAAACUAAUUUUUUAUAUAAUAUAUUCGAAUACAAUUUGUAUAAUCUUUCAUUUAGAUACAUUAAUUCAUUUGAUAUAUUUCAGUAUAUCCAUCAAUACAAAUAUAUAGGUACAUUAAUUCAAUAUAAUACAUUUCGGUACGUAAAUUUUGGUACACUAAUUCAAUAUAAUAUAUUUUAGUACAUACAUUUCGGUAUUGAUAUUUAAGUACAGUAAUUCAAUAUAAUACAUUUUGGUACAUACAUUUAGGUUCAUUAUAAUAUAUGUAGGUACACAUUUCAGUACAGUCAUUUAUGUACACAUAUAUUUACAUAUUUAUGUGUCACUAAUUUCUUUUAAUAUUUUCUCGUUUAUGUUCAUUUAUAAUUGAAAGAACUAAUAUGUGCAUAUCAAUAAAAUUAAAAUUUUAAUGUGAAGACAUUAAAUAACAAAAAUAGAAUAUAAAUCUUAAUAAAAGUACAGAGAUUAAAUUAAAUAUGUAAUCUAGCAUCAAGGUUUUUUUUUUUUUUAAUUCUAAUAUUUUGCAAGGACUAAUGUUCAAAAACCCCUUCCCCUUAUAAAAUUAGGCACAGAGAUUGUGACAUAUGCCCUAGCUUCCAAUUAGCUAGUAUAAAUAAAGAACUUUUGUGAUUGAUUAGUCACAACAUUUUCAAGCCAAGCAACCACAUAAUCCCUCUAAUGGAGCAGAGCAAACACCGGAGAGUGAUACUCUUCCCCUUGCCUUUUCCUGCAUCACAUAUAAACCCAAUGCUGCAACUGGCCAACAUUCUACACACCAAAGGCUUCUCCAUAACCAUUAUCCACACCAACUUCAACUCUCAUAACUUCAACCCAUCAGCCCAUCCACACUUCACGUUUAUCUCAAUCCCUGACGGCUUAUCUGAAUCCGAGGCGGCCACCAAUAACAUUCUCCAUCUUUUCUCUCUUCUGAAUGUCAAAUGUGUUGAACAGUUCCGCGAAUGCUUGGCUAGCUUGUUAUCUGCUGACGCUAACUCAGAGGAGCCUAUUGCUUGCUUAAUUUCUGAUAAACAUUCUAUAAUAUACUAUUUAUUUUUAUUAUUGUCUAGGUAACAAUUUUUGAUAUUUUCUUUAUCUUUAUGGUCCGAAUUUUUUUAAUCCAUAUAUGUAGUUACAUAAUAUAAUUUUUACAUUCUGUGUUCACCUUCUACCACCAGCAAAUUUUGAAGAGGUGUUCAUCAAUAUUUUUGAAUAUAUUGAUAUACUUUUCAAAUUGUUAGGCCACGGAAGCUACUAUACUUGGCCAUAGGUGAGAAAGUUUGAAUUUUGUUUUUGAUCUUGUAGUGUUUAAUAAAUUCAUGAGACUUUUAUACGCUGUUUGCUUUCCCUAAUCAAUUGCAGUGCAGUUGAGAUAUGUGUUCUUAUAUAUGUGUUGCACUUAAUGAUAUAAACUAGAAAUAUUGCAUGUAAUGGUAUAAGUUCUAAUUUUUGUUGUAGAUGGAGAAGCUGAGAAGACAAUUUGAAUUGGAAAGCAAACAAGUCCUACCAAAGCAGCAGUCCGAAGUAUCAUAUUCUAAUAUAAUAAAAUCAAAUAAUUAAAUAAAUAAAAUUUAAAAAAUACUAAUUUAAUUAUUUCGGUUCGGUUUGGUUCGGUUUCUAGACCACCAAAACCGAACCGAACCAAAAGAGUUCGGUUCGGUUCGGUUUUUUCAAUUCGGUUCGGUUUUUUCGUUCGGUUCGAUUUUUUCGGUUUCGGUUCGGUUCGGUUUUCGGUUUUUUGAACCCACCCCUAAUUGCCAAAGGAGAUGGCCUCGUCCAACUAUUUAGGAAAAAACUUAAAAUGUAAUCUGUUUGUACCAUACUUGACCAAUCCCGAAACUACCGAGCACCGGCCAACGCUAUACUGUCAAGGACCCAGAAGAGUUCCCCUCCGACCAGGAGGCCAAUCACUACUCGACACGUGUCAAGAUUAGAAGCCAAUCAGAGCGCAGCACGUGUCGACAUCAAGAACCAAUCAUAACAUGACACAUGUCAAUGUGACAAAGCUACAAGUUUUUCUAUAAAUAGGGGUCAUUCCCCCACAAUAUUGCCUAAUGCCAUUUUGUGUUAAAUCAUUCACAAGAACUCACUAAAUUGAGAGCUUGAUCCUUUGUACUUGUGUAAGCCCUUCACUACUAAUAAGAACUCCUCUACUCCGUGGACGUAGCCAAUCUGGGUGAACCACGUACAUCCUGUGUUUGCUUCUCUGUCUCUAUUCAUUUACGUACUUAUCCUCACUAGUGACGGAAGCAACCAAGCGAAGGUCACAAAACCUGACACUUUCUGUUGUACCAAAGUCUUCGCUGAUUUUGUGCAUCAACAUAAUCGAAAUCGAGAGACUCCCUCAAAAGGGGAUUAGAUUCUUUCCCCUAAAUCGCAAAUGAAGUGCGUGCAACAACUCUCAUUGUUUCUGCCUCGGACUGUAUUGCUCUUUUUUUUUUUUUGUCAAAUGAUAGAUUUUGUUAGAUUAGUCACCAACGGAAUUUGAACUCAUGCCUUCAUACAAUGGGUCAACACCUUUCCACCAUUGUGGUAAAGGGGCCACUUGCAGGACACCAAAAGAUGAACUAAAAUGUGUAAUCUGAGCCCUCAGAUUACUCAAAAAGUCAUUGCUCAUUGUUCAUUUGGUUUAGAUAUUAAUAGUGUCACUGUUGUUUUAAGUUACAACAAACUAAUUAAGUCUGAGUGGUCAAAUAGUAUUUCUCCAAGUUGAAUGAAAUUUGCAUUCUAUUGAGAAAAAUGCGUUCUCUUCUUCUUUUAACAAAUUCAAUAUCGAAUAAAACUUGCUCACUGUUUGGAGUAUUUUCUAACAACCCACACAAAACAAUAAGCAUGAAGAUCACAGUUACCUACCAGGCAAAAUAGUCAAAUACAGAUGUGUACCACAAUAGAUCUUUUACAUAUCUCAAAACCAUAUACAUCAUUUGACAUAGGAUUCAUCAUAGUAUUUGGUAGAGAGAAUUUUUUUUUUGUUUACACCACAACACCGACACCAUAAAUAUUAGCAACAAAGGCAGUCAAUCCCUUUCAUUAUGCAGCCUAUAACAGGAAAAAAUAGAAAGCUCAAAUAUGUCUGCUUACUUUACAAUAGUAGAUGUUGUACUAAUAAUUUAGGACGCUCUUCUCUCCAAAUUUUCUCAAAUAACUAUCAUUUUCGUAUAGCUCGUAUGAAUGCAACUCGAAAAAUUGCUCGGAAGAAAUAUAUACAAACAAAAGCAAACUAAAAGUAAGCUAUUGAAAGAAAUUUAGAAACACACAAACAUCACAACAACUCAGACUUAAAACUCAACAAACACCAAAUAGUAGAAACUGAAUAUAUAUAUGCUCUUGAAUCGAGAACUUCAUCAAACGAACAACAAUCAAUCUAAUACAAUCUGUCAAAAACCAAAAGGGAAAGAGAGAAUUUCAAGGCCCUGUAAUGUCGAGGCCUCGUACGGUAACACAAUAAUCUUGUACAAUUAUACAAUUUCAAGGCCUUGACACAAAAUAAUUGCGAAAUGCCUUUUUUUAAUCACGGCAUGCUGCACGCGACUCACAUUUUAAACAUAUUUAUCUGCGUGAAUUGCUUCACUUGUUUUGUAUUUCAUUAUUUUCUUUCUUUAUGAGACAUAUUAGAAACAUUAAAGAAAAGCGAUCAUCAUGUCACAUAAUACAGAGAGCAAUUCAAAGUUUACAAAAGUUGAGGGAGAAUAUUUGAUAGAGUUAAAACAUUGUUCAUACCAGGUAGGACAAAACCCCAAACGGAGGAAAAAGACAUCCUAACAUUGAGAACAAUUUAUUUAAGAAGAUGACAACUUUGGCUAUAUUGCUCCUAUCAUUUCUCUCCAUACUUGAUAUGUUGAACUCCAGUUGAAAACUUUUUGUAUUCCUACAUAAAAAUAAAUAAAUAAAUAAACACAAUAAUUUAUUUGACAAAGGAAAUGAGCACAUAAGGGAAAAAAUUACUGUAACAGUUAACUAACAUAUGAAAGUGAUACUAUCCUUGAAAAUCAUGUCCUCAAAUGUGUAUCAUCAAUUUAAUUAAACUAUAGUGAGCAACACAUUAGUCUUUUUUCAUUUUUUGUACGGGCAACAACAUAGUGCAAGGGUUAGAAUAUAUUUGCACGUAUAUGUUGCAUAAUAUAACAUGUGUAGAAGUUACAAAUGUGUUUGUGUUUCUUCAAUUUUGAGUUCAAAAUGAACGUCAUAAUUUCAAGUCCUUCAUCUAAUAGCUAAUAAUGACAAUUGACAUGCCAAAGAGGUGAAAGAAUUCAAGAGAUUAAGGCAUUGGAAAUGCACCAAUGGGGCUGGAAUUGUCUUUGAAAUUAAAAAGCUGUAGAAUUCGUCCUCUCUGAGAAAAACUUAGUUCUUCUCUGAAAAUUGGAUCACCCUCCCUCAAGGUCCUAUGGAUAAAUAUGAAUGUUUUCAAAGCUACUAUCAAUGCCAACCACAAAAAUAAUACAAACAAAGUUUAACAGGAAUCAAAACAUAUGUAUACAUCUACAUAAGCAUAUUAAUCCAUAAGUCAACGAUGAUCCAUAUACAGCCGAUAAGAAGAGUGUCAUAAAGUGUUGCAUUGUCCCAUGUAAACUGGGACAACAUUGAACCGGACCAGUAGAAGAUUCACUUCAGAAUAGUUAAAAUUAUAUAAACUUAUUUUUCCGUGUAAUUAUGCAAUCAAACUCUUGCAUUUACUUUCCUGCUCAUCCAUGGUAUCACAAAGUAGUGCACCACUGGCAAUGGAUUAAACAUUGCCCAAACAGCAAACACCAAGGCCUGUCUAACCAAUGAGGUUGCACGCACAGAUCCUGUCACACGACUCUGUUGUCUAAAUCAUCAUCACAUUGUAUGUAGUGAGGCAGUGAAAAAAAGACUACCUUGGUUCUUAGAUUAGAUGUUUAAGCUAAUAAGCAACCAAGACAUCGAUAUUUCGAAAUCCCAUGACUUUCGGCAAGUACUUACUAAAUCUUAAGUCCAUAUAACAACUGAAAACAUUUUGAAUUGCACCAAGACAGAAACCUAGCAACCAUACCUCGGCUAACCAACCAGCAAUGACUUCGAUUGACACAAAGGUCCGAAUCUGAUCCACGUUAACAAAAAAACCCACUCGCUAAAAUCAAUCCAAUACCUGUUUCACAAUUACAAACUGUGUUAAAAACCGAAAAUGGACGAAAAAGCAAAGAAGAAGCAUUCAAGAGAUUAAGGCAUUUAAAAAAUUAGACGAAGUGGACAUAGAUCAGAAAAAAGUUGGGGAGGGAAGUGAUAACUCUGCAGUGAGGCAGUAAAAAAUGAAUCCAACUAAUCCAAUCUAUUCCCUUUUGUCUACUGGCUAUUGUGCCACACGGUCCCAAAGUUUAGUCUUCUUUCUAAUUCCAUGUGUCUGGUAAAUGUGUCAAACCCAUUUGAAUAAAUACACUUGAAGAAAUUUCAAUGAGAAAAACGUAGGAAAAGUAAGUAUUCAAACUCUUCAAUGGAAAAGGAGAAGGCGCGGAGAAUUACCGUUUCACUCCGUUCUGGCCUCAGAGAGUGAGAGAGGUCUUCAUCGCAACAACUUUAUUUCCAUCACUAUAAACCAAAGCAUAAACCCUACAAACUUCCAUUACAGAUAGGAGGGAUUACAUAUGAACCUGUGCACUGAAAAAUUUAACAUCUAAAUUUUCUUAUUCGUGAAAAUUGAAAGGAAAACGGAUGACUGAAAUGGAAGAAAGACAAAAGCCCGAUCACAUACUCGAAAGGAACACGACAUAUAUAGCUGUAAACGUACCUUUGCAGACCUUCUCUUUGAGCUUUAGGAACCGGAAUUGCAUUUACUGUAAAUCCAAACUGUAAUGAAAACCCAAUGAGGGGAAUCCCUGAUCAAAACAACAUCCAUCCCUGAACGUGAUGAUUCAGUUUCAGCUGCAACAAUCCUUCCCUGAAAUUAUAGACCCUAUGCUAGCAGCCUAAAAUCCCAAAAACACAUAAUAAAAAAUUCAAAAUUUGAAGCGAUUUCACAAAUUGGGAUCAAUAAUCUGAAAACAUAGUUCAAUUUUUUAUUGCUUGGAUGGAGAAAAUUGAGAAAUGAAAGAAAAAAAGUUAGGUUUAGGAUUGAACUUGGUACUUGAACCAGAGACAGUUAGCCGAGGCCGGCGUUGUAAAGAGCUUGAGAAACCUUAUCGAAUACACUGAGGGGCGUCCACGAAAUGCUUUCUUCAAUGAAAAACGUAUCUCCUCCGUCCUUCCGGUACGCAACCGUGGUGGUGGUUCCGAACCAGCGGGAGUGGCUGAGUCAGAGCAAGCUGAUCCGAAACGAAGACGAAGCAUUAGAAAGAAUAGAGAAGUAGUGCUCGAAUUGGGAGAGGAGGUUGAUCGAUGUACGGAGAUCAAAAUUUUGUAACUGAACAAAUGAAGUGGAGAAGUUAUGAUAAAAGGUUGUGGGGGGUUUGAAAACUGCUACGCAGAAAACUGAACGUCCUGAACGUGGUGGGUUUUCAAUACAUAUUUCUGUGUGGUUAUUGUUUUUUUACCAGUUUAUCCUCAUUUUUUGAAAUUUUUUGGGUUUGGUUGUGAAUACAAAAAAGGGACUUUCUUGGCAUUUUGAAAUGCUUCACCUAUUUGGCCUUCUCCCUCUAUAUAUACUAGCCUCUCCGCAUGCACUAACGUGCAUGCGAGAGGCAUUUUUGCAUCACGGGCGCUACGCGCCCCUAAAGGUAUAUUGUGUUAUUUUUUUCCAUUGUAAUUGUCAAGAUAUAUUUUAAAUGUAUUGUGCAAAGAGGAACUUUUUUUUUUAUCAUGCACGUCCUAAAAAGUUGUCAUGUUUUUCGUUUUCACUUUGCGUAAAGUAAUGAUUUAAAUGUUAUUCAUGUAAUUGUCAAACAACAUGGGAUUUUGGAUGCAAGUUCCUACCUAAAGUUCAUGAACAAUAGUAAGUAGAUGUGAAUAAAAAAAGAGUAUAUGAAAACAUUAAGUACUCGUAGCAAAAUACAAAACAACUUAAAUGUCAAAAUAUAAAACCUAGAUCACAAUAUUUAUGUUAUUCACAAUACCCAUAAAGUCUAUAUGUCAUUGUUUAUUUUGAAAAGAAAAUUGACAUCAAUCCUGCAAUUUCCACCCAUUUGUUCCUGAUUGACGCUUCAAAUUUUCAUUGCCAAUCUACAAACAAUUGUGAGAAAAUUAAAAAUCAAAUAAAAAGAGUUAAUUCAUAAGUGAGAAAUGCAUAUUGAAAGGUUAUCAUUAAUAAAGUUGUUACCUAUUAGGAAUCACCAUAAUUAGCUGGAAUGAAGCAAGAUUUCUUUGUAUACUACAUUUCGUGUAUAGGUCUUCAUCUAUUUACCUAACUAUUGUGAUAGUUAAAAUAUAUUGGGAUCUUAUCUAUUGUUAAGAUGUUUGGUACGCGCCCCUAAAAAUGGUUUUGCUUUAAGAUGUUUUGCGUAUGUAAAAACACGGGGUAUUUCUAAAAAUUAGGCCAAAGUAGGUUCUUGGAGCCAAGUACAAAUGCUGAAUUUGUGCCAAUUUAAGUGGUGUGCAAAUUUUGGCUUUUAAUUUAAUACAAAUUCAUUUGAGGUCAGGCCAUGAAAAUAGCCUCUUUUUUUUCAAUUAAUGGUUGUUCACAAAUUUGUCACUUGAGGUGGAAAGAAAAAAAAAAGUUGUGUGUUUUCUUACACCUAACGCUAAAGUGCAAUGAAACACAAAAUAGGCUAGGAAAUCAUUCAUCAUAUAAGAAAGAACUUCGUACAUAAGCAAGACCAUCCAAAUAAGAUUUCAGGUAAAGAGAAUGGUGAUACAUGAAAUACAUAGUUAUUCUGAUUGUAUAUAGGAAUGAUGAAUAUGUAUUCGUCCAUAAAAAAAAAUGAAAAAUAGGAGAAAAGUACCAACUAACAGAAUCGAAGGGAGCUAAUGUAUUUACCCUCUAUUCUUUAUUUGUCCCUCUUCUUUCUUUGCAUUUAUGUUGGCAUCUUCAACAGCAUCAUACAAUCUCAGUUUCCUAUUGAGAAAAAACGGAGGCAUAUAUAUCAUCUUAUCCUCACAAUACCACAAAAUACAGCUCACUACAUAUUGGAUUCUCUUUGAACACUUUAUUUUACCAAAAUCUGUUAAAGAUGAGUUGAUUAAACUAUAAUUUGUUCUAUUUUUGUAGACCUGUAUGUUGAGUUGGUUAGAUUGGGGAUUCCAAUUUUUGGCUGGAAUUUGAAUGUAUAAUUGUUGGAUAAGAUCUAAGUCUUAUUGAUAAUAAGGAUCAUUACAUGUAUCACACAUAUGUUUUUAAUGAUAAUAAGGAACAUGAGGCUCCCCUAAUGUAGUGUUAUGAAGAAAGUGGAAAAGAUAAACUAAGUUCAUGAGGAUAUAGAUAGAAUAAAUAUUCAUGGAUAAGAUACCUUAAUGAUGUUCACGGUUUUAUGUCAAAAUGUGCAUUUUUCUGGAUAGGUCUUCAUCUAUUUAAUUAACUAUUGUGAUAGGUAAAAGUUGCUUAAUAUGCUCUAAAAUUAAUGUAAUUUAGUAAGGCAAAGUAAAAGCCAAAACCAAAAUGACAUAGUAAAUUCAGUGCAUAAUAUAUGUCCAAAAAUGCAAAUAGAUGCUUGUAAUUUAAUUGUUUAUUAUCUGUAAAUGGCAUUGAAAGCAUUACUUAUUUGGAACAAAGCAAUAAUACGAAUAAAUGGCUAAUAGUUAGGUAUAUACGAGCUAGAAACCUUUCUCUACAUACAAAAAAAUCUAACGAUGGGAAAAUUAAUCCACAAAUACUUAAUGCUAGCCUCUUCAAUCAAAUUCUACUUAACCCAAGACUAAUCCAAUCCUAAUUAGCGAACAUGACUUGAAAAUUUGCUGGCUUUCUUUAUCGUCAUGUAUGGCAAAUAGAUAGCAAGCGAAUGCUCAAACCUGGAAUGUGUAACCACUGGUAUUCUCCAUGUGUAUCACUCCCGAAACAUGUUAAAAGCUUUGGCAAGUAAGCAAACUGCAACAUCGAUACAAUGACAAACAGAACUUCAAUUACACAUUGCCAAACCGUCCAAAACUUUACUCAAUAAGAGAACAAUUAAAAUAUAUCAUAUUCUAAUAAAAAAAUUGUAAGGCCACAUCCACAUUGAAUCGUGCAUCUUUAGCAAAAACUUAAAAAAAAAAAAAUCAGAUUGCAAAACUGUCUAUGUAAAUACUUAAAGUCAUUGUAAAAGAAUAUACUAUAAUCGAACGAAGAGCAUAAAACUCACCAAGUUGAUUCAAGUCAUGAAGCCUGAAAUGUAAUGAAAUCAAUUCAUUUGCAGCAAACAACAUACACAUAUUUCUUUCGACACAGAGGUAUACAAAAACCAACCUACCUGUAAAACUCCUACGUAUCAAUAAACCGUACCCGACACCAACGGGCCACCAGUCUCAGCGACAAUGAAGCUGAAGCCGCCAAUCUCCGGUGGGAUGAAAACUCAGGAUGAAAAGUAGGUUCCUAAAGCUAUAAACAUCUUUAAAAUGAAACGGUGGGAGAAUUUGACUAAUCUUGUCUUUUUUGCAGAUUUUCUUUCCUUGUUCUUCCAUAAAGAUUCCAAAUCUUAUAAAUUCACCACCCAAAAACAAACUACUAAUCGUAGUAGUACAUUACACAAAACAGAGAGGUUUCUACAAAUUGGUCCAAAACCCAUUUAAAAAAUCUGGUAAAUAUAAAUAAUUUCGAAUAGUUCAAAUGACAAUCGAGUUAAAUACUCCAAAUUACUAUAUAUAUGAAAAUAAGGUCGUGAUGAACAAUUCAAUUAAGCAUAGAGUACCUAGAUUGAAGCAGAAAGUGAAAAUCUCUAGCGAAAACCCAUUUCAAAAAUCUGGCCAAGAUAAGGAUAAUAUUGUUCGAGAAAAUUAUCCAAUUUAUCUAAUGUUUUCAAAGCUACCUGCCAAUGACAAACACAAAAAUAAUACAAAGUUUAACAGGAAUCAGAACAUAUGUAUACAUAUACAUAAGCAUAUCAGUUCUUCCAACCUUCCAGUAGACACAAUAUAAUUAAAUUUACUUCCUGCAACUACUCAAAAACCACAAAACAAUCAAAUUUAUUUGCUACUCAGUAACCCAAUUUCCUAGCAACCAAACAAUAAUGAUAAAAUAUCCAAAAAUUGCUUUUUGGAAAAAGAGAAUAAUAAAAAAUAACUCACAUUUUUUCCUUUUACUUUCUCUCCUUUUUUCUUCACUGAUCUCCUCCUCUGCUUCUUAGUCUUCGAUUUUCCGACUCCACAAAACCCGAAAUUGACUACAAUAAACUUAAAACCCAUAAAAAACUUAAACAAAAGCAAAAAACCAAGGAAAGCACAGAAAAUACGAGAGUGAGUAUUAGAGAAAAUGCUUACCGGAUCGUCCUUGAAAGUUAGGAUUUCUGGGUUUUUAGUCUAAAAGAAUGAGUGCGCAUUCUUCCUCAGUGCAAUGUUUGAGAGAGAGAGUGAUGGAAGGUACCUAAGGCCACAAAAUGAAUAGCUAGAAAAAUACCACAGAAUGAAUAGAUAGAAAAAACAGUGUGCAGACGAUGGGACAAAAAAAAAUGGAUAUUGAAUAAAGAGGGAUAAUACUAACCAAUUUGUGUAAAUCCUAACAUUUAUUUUCAGGAUUGCCAGUUUCAGAUGAAGAAAUCAUACAUAAAAGGCGUGGAGGAGGGUGUUUUGUACGGAAGACAAAAAUGAGUUUGAGAAAAUCAUCCAAUUUUCCCUUUUGUAUGCUCUGUGGGGAUCGAGAACGUGUGAUAAAUGGCGGUUCCAUGUCGGGUCUGUCAACCGCAGCAGUUGCUGCUUUGAUCGUGCAAUACAUGGUUUCUGAUGUCUUUCUAGCAGUUGUGGAAUAAUUGAUCUAAAGGCUGAAAAUGAACUUAAAGUGUGAGUAUCUUAUCCAAUGGUUGUGAAUUAAUGUCGUUGAGAAUUCAGAAUUAUUACGUUUUUAACCCUAUUUUUUAGACAAUUAUUUUUUGGUUUUUUGUGUACGAAGUGAGGGCAUUCUUGGCAUUUCUGAAUGCUUCACCAAACUGGUCUUCUCCCUUUAUAUAUAUAGAUGAUAGAUGAUGAUGAAGAAGAAUACAUGUAUAUAUAUAUAUAUAUAUAUAUAUAUAUAUAUAUAUAUAGAGAGAGAGAGAGAGAGAGAGAGAGAGAGAGAGAUUGAGAGAAAGAGAGGAAUGAAUAAGGUCAUACUCCAUCAUCAUCGUCUAAAAAGAAAUCUAUUUACAGUUAAACUUUAAACCCAAAAUAUUAAAAAAAAACUUUAUGUUAUAAUUCUAGUUGAACUUUAAAUGUUUAUUUUCAUUAUCUUUAAGUCUAGUCGGAAUAUUUAUGUUAUGAUUGUGUUGGAUAUGUUAAAAUUUAGGGUAAAUUACAUAGUAGCCCAUCAGGUUUGAGGUCUAUUUGCAAUCUUAUACAACAUCUUUAAAACAUUUCACUUUUAUACCUCAAGUACUAUUUUAUUUCAAUUUCAUACAACCGUUACAUUUUUCAUCCAUGGAUCUGUUAAAUGCUGACGUAGCUGCCACAUAUAUGCCAUGUGGCUACCAAAUGUCUGCCACGUGGCAAAUAAAAUAAUUUUUUUUUAAAAAAACCGGAAAUUGGAAGGAAAAAAAAAGAAGAAGAAAGGGACCGAACCCAGAAGAAGAAGCAGGAAGAAGAAGAAGAGAAGAAGAAAGAGGAGGAGGAGGAAGAAGAAGAAGAAGAAGAAGAAAAAAGAAGAAGAAAGGGACCGAACCUAGAAGAGAAGAAGAAAGAGGAGGAAGAGAAGAAGAAAGACGAGCAGGAGGAAGAAGAAAAAGAAGAAGAAGAAGAAAAAAGAAAAAAAAAAGAAAGGGACCGAACCCAGAAGAGAAGAAGAAAGAGGAGGAAGAGAAGAAGAAGAAGAAAAGAAAAAAAAAAGAAAGGGACCGAGCCCAGAAGAGAAGAAGAAAGAGGAGGAUGAGAAGAAGAAAGAGGAGGAGGAGGAAGAAGAAGAAGAAAAGAAAAAAAGAAGGGACCGAACCAGAAGGAGGAAGAAGAAGAAGAGAAGAAGAAAGAGGAGGAGGAGGAAGAAGAAGAAAAAAAACAAAAAACAAAAAUGAUCGAAUCCCUUGCAACCCAGAAGAAGAAGGAAGAAGAAUGAGGAGGAGGAGGAGGAGGAAGAAGAAGAAGAAGAAAAAAAAAACCCCAGAAGAAGAAGAAGAAGAAGAAAGAGAGAAAAAAAAAAUGGCAGACAGGUUUAUUAAAAAAAAUUAAAAAAUUAUUUUUAUUUGCCACAUGGCAGACAUUUGGCAGCCACGUCAGCAUUUAAUAGAUCCAUAGAUGGAAAAUGUAACGGUUGUAUGAAAUUGAAAUAAAAUAGUACUUGAGGUAUGAAAGUGAAAUGUUUUAAAGAUGUUGUAUAAGAUUGCAAUAGACCUCAAACCUGAGGGGCUAUUAUGUAAUUUACCCUAAAAUUUAAGAUUUCAAAAUUUUUCAUUUUUUGAAAAAAAAAACCGAAACCAAACCGGAAAAAAUAAAAAAUAAAACCGAAAAAAAAUUGAACCGAACCGAAAUUUCGGUUCGGUUUCGGUUUUGGCAAAAAACCGAACCGAUUUCAACCGAACCCACCUCUAUUGGCAAUGACAUCCUAUCUAUUUUUAGUUAUCACUUAAGAAAUAUAAGAAUAUCUAAAGGAAAACAUUUUUGGGGCACGUAGCGCCCGUAAUGUAAAAAUAUCUCUCGCAUGAGCGUGAAAGCAUGCAGAGAUGCUAGUAAAACAAUAAAAUAAUGAAAACUAAUCAUUACGUACUCCUAGAAAUUGAAAUGUAACGGUUGUAUGAAAUUGAAAUAAAAUAGUACUUGAGGUAUGAAAGUGAAAUGUUUUAAAGAUGUUGUAUAAGAUUGCAAUAGACCUCAAACCUGAGGGGCUAUUAUGUAAUUUACCCUAAAAUUUAAGAUUUCAAAAUUUUUCAUUUUUUGAAAAAAAAAACCGAAACCAAACCGGAAAAAAUAAAAAAUAAAACCGAAAAAAAUUGAACCGAACCGAAAUUUCGGUUCGGUUUCGGUUUUGGCAAAAAACCGAACCGAUUUCAACCGAACCCACCUCUAUUGGCAAUGACAUCCUAUCUAUUUUUAGUUAUCACUUAAGAAAUAUAAGAAUAUCUAAAGGAAAACAUUUUUGGGGCACGUAGCGUCCGUAAUGUAAAAAUAUCUCUCGCAUGAGCGUGAAAGCAUGCAGAGAUGCUAGUAAAACAAUAAAAUAAUGAAAACUAAUCAUUACGUACUCCUAGAAAAUCUAAAACCGUAUGGUUUUGAAUAGAAUAAAAUAUUAAAAUAUUAAAGUAAAUUAUUAUUUCUAGGAUCUAGUAAUCGUACGGAUUUUGAAUUGAUUAAAAUAAUUUUAAAAUAAUAUUUUAUUAUUUGACUGACCUGUGUUUGAUAUAUUGAGUUAGCUAAAACAAUUAAAAAUAAAAUAAAAAAUUACUCAAACAAUUAGUAUUUUUAAGUUUAAAGAACUAAAACUCCCUAUCCUAAAGCCCAGCUUAACCUUGUUAGUAACUCCGUCAUUGGCUGUGUGGAUCAGCGGCUUCUCCAAUUAUGUUAAGUGUAAGAUUUAAGUACGAGGAUUUGGGACCUUAAUCAAUCAUUGUCUGUGCGGAACAACGGCUCUUGAGAAAGUUAGGUGUAAGAUUUUAUUUGAAAAGCAGUUAGGUACCAAUGCCCUUAAUUUAUUUAUAUACUGUUGUGUGUACCAACGGCUUCUUCAUUAAGGUAGGUUUAAGAUUUAAGUUUGAGAGUUUGGUACGUCAAUUCAUUAAACAAGAAAAUUAUUUUUCAAUUAUGAAAGUCGAUGCCCACAUUAGUUUGUUAGUAUCUGAAUAUUUCAAAAAGGCUACAGUAAUAGCUUUUCAUUAUAUGAAAUUUUCAAAAAGAGCGAUCACUCCACUUUUUGAUUUUUAUCACGGAUGUGACUCCACGUAAAAAGCACUUUGUGUGUAAUUACAACACACGAUUGAAAUAAAAGAAGUAAAAACAAUAAUAUCAGUAUCCCUCUUUUCUUCUUUCCUGCAAUCUUUUGUGUUAUGGUUAUGAAACUAAAUAGUGUGAUAUCUUGCAUCCGCUUCUCUCCCGUCCCUCGCGAAGGCUAUCUCACUAACUUUUUUAUUUAUAACAAAAAUUACAUACAGAGUUUUACAAAGGAUUUUCCCUUUCGGAAAGCUCCUUGAAAAGCUUAAGAUUUUAUAAACAUACCUUAAAAACACCCUCCAAAGACACAUAACAGGAGAAGAACUAAUUUAUCAGUUACAUUAUUUAUGAAAUUGAACUAUAUAUGCAGCAGGUUGGUAAAGAAAAGCACAAGCCUUAGGACGCGUUUACUAAUCCGUAAUCAGAUUGAAGGGAAUUGAAUUGAGGAUGAAUCAGAUUGAGGAGGAAUUGGAUUGAAGAUGAGUUAGAAUCAGAUUCUUAUUAAAAAUGUUUACUAAAACUUUCUGGAAUCAGAGUAAGAAUGACAUUUAUCUAUAUAAACUGUUUACUAGUUCACAUGAAUCGGAAUAUAAACUAAUAUGAUUACUAAAAUACCCUUGUUAUAUUAAAUUAUUUUUAUAUGCCGAUUAAAAGAAAGUCAAAUGAUAUAAAAUAAAAUUAAAAAGCAAACUAACCAAUUACCAAACCCCAACCUAAUUGUUCCUCUCCUUCUCCUCCUUUCUCAUCUUUCAACAGUUUGAAAUUGAAGGUGGGUUUGUGGCCGAUGGGCAGUGGUGGUGGUGGCGAUGAUGUUGAAGGAUUAGUUUACAGGGCUGUGAUUUCAUGUUGGCUUGGUGUGGAGGCUUGGUUUUUGACAUUUUGUUCAUAAAAUACCUAAUAAAAUUGCAGCAAGGUUCUUCUUGGUUUUUGGUUUGAUCUACAUUUGUAAUUUAAUUGUUGUGGAAGAUGAUGGUGGCCGAGUUUAUGUCCUGGGAAAGGCAAUGGAUGUGCGACGGUGGUGAUGGAGAAGGAGAGGGAUAACACUAUGGACGAGAGCUUGGGUUUCUUUGGAAUUUCCACUUUUAUGCGAGGGCACAAUGGGUAAGAAAAAUGGAUUCCUCGCCCCCUCAAUUGUCACAUCCCAGCCCGAGGCCUCACCACAUCCCGGACUCGACUUUGCCGUAGCACAAUAUUGUCCACUUUGGGCCCCGACCAUGCCCUCACGGUUUUGUUUCUGGGAACUCACACGAGAACUUCCCAGUGGGUCACCCAUCAUGGGAUUGCUCUCGCACGAACUAGCUUAACUUCGAAGUUCUAAUGGAACCCGAAGCCAGUGAGCUCUCAUAAGGCCUCGCGUUAGGUAGAGAUGAGAAUAUACAUAUAAGGCUUACAUGAUUCACUCCCCUGAGAGAUGUGGGAUGUCACAAUCCACCCCCCUUAAAGGCCCGACGUCCUCGUCGGCACACUUCCGGCCAAGGAUUGGCUCUGAUACCAAAUUGUCACAUCCCGGCCUGGGCCCCCACCACAUCUCGGACUCGACUCUGUCGUAGCACGAUAUUGUCCACUUUGGGCCUUUACCACGCCCUCACGGUUUUGUUUCUGGGAACUCACACGAGAACUUCCCAAUGGGUCACCUAUCAUGGGAUUGCUCUCGUGCGAACUCGUUUAACUUCAGAGUUCCGUUAGAACCCGAAGCCAGUGAGCUUCCAAAAGGUCUCGUGCUAGGUAGAGAUGAGAAUAUACAUAUAAGACUUACAUGAUCCACUCCCCUGGGCGAUGUGGGAUGUCACAUCAUUCCUCCGGAAUCCAAAUACCAUCCCAUAGUUAGGAGUCCAAUUGCUCCAAAUUUCGGAAUUGGAUUCCAAAAUUUGUGUGGGACCCACUAAUUUUUUAUUCCCUUAGAUUUGGUAAACACCGGAGUAUUCCGUAAUUAGAAUUCAAUUCUGUUUCUUGAUGCCGAUUAUCCUUACGUAAACGUGCCCUAAGUGCCUAACACACACACACUCCCUGUAAUGGUUGGAGAGAAAAGGUCAGAGAUUGAUUUAUAAAAUAGAAAACUUUAUUUUAAUCCUUAAAAAAGAUGAGUUUUAAAUUAUAACCUUAUAUAAGAUUAAAAUCUAAUUUUAAUCUAUGAUACAUUUAAUCAUCUCAUUUAUUAAUUACAUUUUGAUGUUUUAUUUCUUUUUUCUUUCUUUCCUAUUUUAAAUGUAUUAAUUACAUUUAAUUUUCAUUUUCAUUUCAGUCAUCAUAAUAUAUUUUGAUGUCUCCAUUUAGGUAAACUAAUUUUUUAUAUAAUAUAUUCGAAUACAAUUUGUAUAAUCUUUCAUUUAGAUACAUUAAUUCAUUUGAUAUAUUUCAGUAUAUCCAUCGAUACAAAUAUAUAGGUACAUUAAUUCAAUAUAAUGCAUUUCGGUACGUAAAUUUUGGUACACUAAUUCAAUAUAAUAUAUUUUAGUACAUACAUUUCGGUAUUGAUAUUUAAGUACAGUAAUUCAAUAUAAUACAUUUUGGUACAUACAUUUAGAUUCAUUAUAAUAUAUGUAAGUACAAACAUUUCGAUACAGUCAUUUAUGUACACAUAUAUUUACAUAUUUAUGUGUCACUAAUUUCUUUUAAUAUUUUCUCGUUUAUGUUCAUUUAUAAUUGAAAGAACUAAUAUGUGCAUAUCAAUAAAAUUAAAAUUUUAAUGUGAAGACAUUAAAUAACAAAAAUAGAAUAUAAAUCUUAAUAAAAGUACAGAGAUUAAAUUAAAUAUGUAAUCUAGCAUCAAGGUUUUUUUUUUUUUUUUUUUUUUAAUUCUAAUAUUUUGCAAGGACUAAUGUUCAAAAACCCCUUCCCCUUAUAAAAUUAGGCACAGAGAUUGUGACAUAUGCCCUAGCUUCCAAUUAGCUAGUAUAAAUAAAGAACUUUUGUGAUUGAUUAGUCACAACAUUUUCAAGCCAAGCAACCACAUAAUCCCUCUAAUGGAGCAGAGCAAACACCGGAGAGUGAUACUCUUCCCCUUGCCUUUUCCUGCAUCACAUAUAAACCCAAUGCUGCAACUGGCCAACAUUCUACACACCAAAGGCUUCUCCAUAACCAUUAUCCACACCAACUUCAACUCUCAUAACUUCAACCCAUCAGCCCAUCCACACUUCACGUUUAUCUCAAUCCCUGACGGCUUAUCUGAAUCCGAGGCGGCCACCAAUAACAUUCUCCAUCUUUUUUCUCUUCUGAAUGUCAAAUGUGUUGAACAGUUCCGCGAAUGCUUGGCUAGCUUGUUAUCUGCUGACGCUAACUCAGAGGAGCCUAUUGCUUGCUUAAUUUCUGAUGCUAUCUUUCACUUCACACAACCUGUUGCUGAGAGCCUCAAGCUCCCAAGGCUUGUGCUAGAGACCAUGGGUGCCACUUCCACUGCUGUUUAUUAUGCAUUUCCUCUUCUGCGUGAAAGGGGUUACCUUCCCAUACAAGGUACAACCCUACAAGCAAUUUCAUUCUUAACAUUGCAUAUCAGUUAAUUCGAAAAAUUUAUGUGUAGCACGGUCACGUGAUAUUACUAAUUCAUGUAUACUAAUGUGACAACUAAUAUUUAGUUAAUUGUUUUCCCAAUAGAUUAUCGACUAGAAGAGCUGGUAAAGGAGCUUCCACCUCUCAAAGUCAAAGACCUUCCGGUGGUUAAAGGGUGCGAUGCCGAUAAAUAUUUUGAGUUCAUUGUUUACUUGUUAAGUAUAACUCAGGCCUCAGAUGGACUGAUUUUCAAUACUUUUGAAGACUUUGAAGAAACUUCACUGGCCAAAAUACGCCACGAAUAUCUACCCAAUACUCCAAUUUUCCCAAUAGGCCCAUUUCACAAGUAUUCCCCUUCCCCUUCUUCAAAUAGCCUAUUGUCACAAGACCAAAGUUGCAUUUCAUGGCUAAACACUCAAGCACCAAAGUCAGUUGUUUAUGUGAGUUUUGGGACCGUUGCCAAAAUGGAAGAAGCUCAAUUUUUGGAGAUAGCUUGGGGACUAUGCAAUAGCAACCAACCCUUCUUGUGGGUUCGACCUGAUUUAGUCCAUGGAUCGAAUUGCCUCGAACAAUUACCUAGUGGGUUUGUCGAGACUUUGAACGGGAGGGGACACAUUGUGAAAUGGGCGUCACAAAAUGAUGUGUUGGCCCAUCCGGCAGUUGGAGCCUUUUGGACCCACAAUGGUUGGAAUUCUACAUUCGAGAGUGUUUGUGAGGGGGUCCCCAUGAUUUGUACGCCAAGUUUCGCCGAUCAAAUGGUUCUUGCAAGAUAUGCGAGUGAAGUUUGGAAGGUCGGGUUGCAGAUUGAAGAUGGGAUUGAGAGAGGUUUGAUUGAAAAAGCAAUUAGGAAAGUAAUGGUGGAGAAGGAAGGGGAAGAGAUGAGAGACAGAGCCUUGAAGCUAAUGGAGAAGGCAAAUCUUUGCCUCAAGCAAGGUGGCUCCUCAAACCAAUCUUUGGAUGGGUUGGUUAAACACAUUUUAUCAUUCAAACCAUUUGGUGUUCCACAAGAAUAACAUAUAUAACCUCCCCUUGCUCCGCUCCCAACCGUAGUUGAUUCCGACUGCCGUUUUGAGAGACGGACGGUGUUUUCCCGACGUACAUAGUCGUUUUCUUGGUGUUUAUUGCCAAUUUUCUGGUUUUCUUUCUUUCCAUCCUUUUUUUCUCCCUAUCUUCCAAAUCCUGAUAUCAAGUUUGGCUCCCCUUCGCUGCAAACCCAUCCCCCCCCCCCCCCCCUCAUGCUUCCCCAUAUUCAUCUCCUCACCCAGCCAUAAAUUAGACCUGGAAGUGCUUCACCUACUUGACUCUCUAGAUCCACACCUCAUAGCCCCUUGCCGUACCUGUUUACCGGAAAAUUUGGGCGAGGUGUGGUACGAUUCGCAUCAUAACAAGGGUGUUUUACACACCCCCUUUUGCCCUGCCCCUGUUCGUUUGCUUGUCUGGUUUCAUGGAUCUCUGUGCAGGUGCGGCUAUGAAAGGUUGGGAUCUCGGUGGUUCAAUUUGUUUCGGCAUUUCAAGAUCUGAUUUACGGUUUGGGUGUGUUUUUGGGUAUGGGUUUGCGUGGUGCUACACGGCUUUUGCAGGACUCAACUUGGCGUUGUCUCCGCGGCUGCAGUUCCUGUCGGUGCGGCUACAGUCGCUGGUAGCUGUUUGUUGUUGGAGAUUAGGGUCCUUUUUUUGUCUGUUGUUGAGUCUUUGCUUGUGUGAGCCUCUUGAUAUUUUGAGACUUUGAGUUACUGCUCUGCUUUGGCUUGGACAUUUUUUUUUGUGUGUAAUUUUCUCUCUUUUUAAUGAAAUAUUAGCAUAUGGGAGUUGAAUAUCAGAGUGCGCAACGAAUAAAACUACAAAAUAAUAGAAAUAUUAUUAAACAAACAAGAAUGCCAGAAUAACUACAAAACCCUAAAAGGCUACAUUGUGACUAACUUAUUUCUCAACUGAAUAACAAGCAUGCUAUUUAUAAUAAACUAAUCCUAAUCCUAAAAGGUAAGAAACCGAAACCCUAAUACUAACGGGUUAAGCCCAGAAAACCAAACAUUCAAAUAAACCAAAAUACAAAUAUUUUUCAACACCCCCUGUCAAACUCAUAGCGGUACACAAUAUGAGUUUGCCAACAAGCAGAUGUAGAUGUAAGCCUCCAAAUUCCAAUGCUGAUGCCGAUGUCGAUAACGAUACCAAUACCAACUUCCAAACAAACAAUAAAAAAAUCCAAUCAAACAGACCAUAUAUUUCUUUUUGCCCGUGUGGGCCUUCAAACAAAGAACCAACGUUUUUUGUCUUUAUUCUUUUCUACCUUUUUUUUCUCCUUUUAUUUAUUUUAUUUUAUUUAUUUUUUAAAUCCCCCUCUUUUUUCUUAUUCCUUUUUCUUUCUCCUUCUUCCUCUUUUUUUCUUCUGUUUCCUUUUUUUUUUUUAAUUUUCUUCCUUUCCUUCUUUCCUCCUGCUGGGCCUUUUUUCAAUUCAUGCAGCAACCAAGUCGAGCAAAAGGAAAGGGAUUGCAACAAACAAAACAACUCCAGUGCAAAGUCAAAAUGCAGGACUUUAUACCGGUUGCGACAGAUUCGAAUCGUAGAAGUCGAUGUGGGUACGACCCGAGUCAAAGUGCAGAUCAAGCUAUGAGAUGCAGGUUCGUGAAGGGUGCAGAUGCUCCAGAUGCGGUUUAGACUACCAACAAUUAAUAUCGAAAUCUAAAAACAAAUAAACUGAUACGAGCAAACAGAAGUAGAUUAAAUCCCGAAGGAUCAAACCUACUAUGAUACCAAAUUGAAUAUCAGAGUGUGAAACGAACAAGACUACAAAAUAAUAGAAAUAUUAUUAAACAAACGAGAAUGCCGGAAUGGCUACAAAACCCUAAGAGACUACAUUGUGACUAACUUAUUUCUCAACUGAAUAACAAGCAUGUUAUUUAUAAUAAACUAACCCUAAUCCUAAAAAGGUAAGAAACCGAAACCCUAAUGCUAACGGGCUAAGCCCAUAAAACCAAACAUUCAAAUAAACCAAAAUACAAAUAUUUUCCAACAAUGGGCACACACAAAGUGUGUGAGAAUUUUUUUAUUUUGUGUUUUUGAAAUAGAAGGAGAGAGGAAGAGAGUGAUAGAGAAUGUGGAGGUGUGAAUUUUUUUAUUUUUAUUAGAGAUAUAUUAGGAUCACAUGUAAGUGAUGUUUUGAAGAAAAAAAACAGUAAAAUUGUUGCCUCAUAUUUCUUAUUCAUAUAUUUUUUUUAAUUAGAUGGUUAAAUUGAUAAUUUUAUAGAAUUUUAGUUGACAAUAAGUGUUUUAUUAAUUAAUAUAGAUUUGUUUUUUGGCCAAAAAAAGAAUAACAUAUGUUGGGGAAAUCCAAGUAGACAGAGCCCAGCUCAAUAAGCAAAAAAAAGUGUGCACUCUAACAAACUAUGAAUAUUUAUUUUUUAUUUUUGAAAAGCAAUAGUUGUAAUAAAUUAAAUUGUUAUUUGUUAAAAUGUGAAGAAAAUUGGUAGGGAUCCAACGAACAUCACAAUGCAUUAUCAGAAUUACAUUAUGCAAAUAGGAUCAAGAUUUCGUCCACCGUCUUAUCUGCGAGUCUAAAAGUCGUGAGCCCGUGAUUAUGAAAAAAAAAAAUUCAACAUCAGUGAUCCAUUCAGUCUGAAAAAGUUUUAUGAGUUGCGUGAGUAAAUUUGAGACGGCUGCUCUAGUUUAUAUAAAAAUUUGUCCUAGGUUCGUUUUUAAAGGAUAAUACCAACAUUCAUAUGCUAUGAAAGGGCAUAUAAACCCUAUGCUGGAACUGGCCAACAUUCUCCAUUCCAAAGGCUUCUCCGUAGCCAUCAUCCACACCAACUUCAACUCCCUCAAUCCUUCAACCCGAAACCCACACUUCAGCUACCAUUCAAUCCCUGUUGACUUGACAGAAACCGAGGCCUCCAUCAAGGAUCUCACCGUUGUUCUUUCUAUUCUAAAUGCUAAAUGUGUUGAGCCUUUCAGAGAAUGCUUAGUCGGGUUGUUGUCCGAUGGCGUUAAUUCGGAGAACCCCAUUUGCAUGCUUGAUCUCCGACCCUUUCUUCGAUUUCACUCGAUCGGUUGCGGAGAGCUUUAAGCUGUCGACGAUCAUGUUAAGGACCGGGGGUGCCGCUUCCUUGGCUGUUUAUGCUGCAUUUUCACUACUCAAGGAAAAUGGUUACCUACCAAUAUCAGGUAAACUCUCAAGCCAACAAAACCCUGUUAUUAAAUCUGUUUUAAUUUCAUCAUUGUACAUCCAUAUAAUGAGUAGAAUGAGGACACUGUACCAAGACUAAUGACUCGUUUAUAAUUCUUUCUAUAAGUAACAUUUUUAUUUUUUGUUCGUAAGAGAUUGUACAAUGCUUUUGUUAUAAACAUGUCUAAAAUUUUAUUAAAAACUCUAAGUGCUUCUUGGCAAAAACUUCAAAGUGAUUCUUCUCCUUCUUCUUUAGAAAUAACUAUAGAUCCAAAAAUGUACCAAAAUACUUUUUGACUUUUCUAAAAGGGAUCCCAAAUUGGUACAUAAACAACUUAUGUUGAUUUGGAUUAGAGUAGUGCUAUCCUUAUCAUCUAUUAGUGUCAUCUCUUUAAUAGAUGUAUAACAUACUAAUACAUGUAGUCCCAUCUCUAUUAGAUAGAUGGUACAAAUGAUAAUAUAAACAGAUGGUAAAUGUAGUAUUUUUAUUUGGACUAAGAUAACUAGCCAGGUUAGCAUGUUUAGAGCAUCUUCAAUGAUGGACUUUAUAUGAGGCUGAAAAAGUGGUACAUAUGGCCCAAUUUAGAGCUCUAAGAAAUCUUUAGGACUCUAAAAAUGAAUCCCUCCCAAUGAGUGACUAUAUACCUUUUUGGCUCUAUAUGAGGCUAAAUAUAUUUCUGGCUCUGUAUGGGGUAUAUAUUUAUUUAUGUAAUAAUUUGAUUAUGCUGUAAAUUUAUUGUUAUCUUAACUUUUCUUAAGUUAAUUUUUGGACAUGUUAUCUUAAAUAUUUUUAGGAACUUUUCAUGUCACAUCCCGGCCCAGGUCCACCACAUCCCGGGCCCUCUUUACCACCGUAACACGAUAUUGUCCGCUUUGGGCUUACCAUUCCCUCACGGUUUUGUUUUUGGGAACUCACGAGCAACUUCCCAGUGGGUCACCCAUUCUGGGAGUGCUUUGACCUCCUUCUUGCUUAACUUCGGAGUUCCUACGGAACCCGAAGCCAGUGAGCUCCCAAAAGGCCUCGUGCUAGGUAGGGAUGAGAAUAUACAUUUAAGGAUCACUCCCCUGGGUGAUGUGAGAUGUCACAUUUCAACCUAAAAAAAAAUUCAAAUUCUAACAAAGUUAGAUUAAUUUGAUCACCUAUGCACUGUUAGAUUAGGUUCUCACCGUUGGAUUAGGCUCUCUUAUCUUAACCUCAGCUAUUGGUUUAUGUUUCGGUUUAGGUCUCUAAACUACCAAUGUUAAAUUUCAUCACUUUUUUUUUAUGAACUUUUCAAUCUAGAAGAUUAAUGAGAGAGCACAAUAUUUUUUUCUUAAUUAAUAACGCACAGAAUAUAGCCGUUGUUUGUUUAUGUUUUCUUAAUUAAACAAAUGGUUGAAAAAUAAAUUCUUAAAAUCAUGUUUUGAAUUAGAAAUGGACUCCAUUUCUAAACUUAAAAAAAAAAAAAAAAAAAAAAAAAAAAAAAAAACCAAGGUCGGGCCCUCAAUUUGGUGUGGGUCUUUGUGGUUUUUGGUGCUAGAUGUAGCCUAUUUUUUUUUACUAUCCAAAGAAUGAAAUUGCUAGCCCAUGUAAUGGAAGUAGCUUCAUUUUCUAGCCCAUUAGAGAUGAAUUUUUUUUUAUUAGAGCUACAAAUAUAGUAGCCUCAAGGACGAUAAAGCCACAUUGAUGAUACUCUUAUCCCUUGCUUUCCCUCCUCAUAAAUUAACAUUUUAGAAUAUGCACAAUCUUGUUAAAAGACAAAAUAUAUGUACUUACUAGAAAACUUGUAUUUGGCUUUCUAUUUUGACAGAAUAUAUAUACUUGCUAAAAGUGUUUUAAUUGGAGUAGUGUUAUUCACUCUUUUUUCCCUCUCACACAUCCUUAUUAGUUUUUGUCUAUUGAUUUUCUUCAAUUAAUUUGAUUUAACGAUCAAAUAUUAAGAGGAGUAUGUGAGAAAUAAAAAUAGGCGUGUGUAUAGCAUCACCCUUUAAUUGCCUGAAUAUAUAAUACAUGGCUGACUAUGUGUAUUAAUUAUUAGCGCACAUAAUUGAGUAAGGAUAUAAAGUGCUAGUCGUAACUUUCUUGUAGUGAUUAUAUUGCCGAAAUAUUAUUGCUACAAAGAUUUAGACAAUUUAUUUUUGACCUUUUAUUUUGACAAUAGUUAGAUUCUCGCUUAGAAAAACCAGUGACAGAGCUUUCACCUCUCAAAGUUAAAGAUCUACCAAUGAUGACGAACUGCGACCCUGAGGUUUUUUAUAAGGUGAUGACCAACAUGGCAAAUGAACCCAUGGCUUCUUACGGACUAAUUUUAAAUACUUUUGAAGAUCUUGAAGGACAUGCACUUGCCACAAUUCGCCAAGAAUAUUACCCCAAUAUUCCAAUUUUCUCACUAGUCCAUUUCACAAGUGUGGUCCUACAACCUGUUCUUCUUCAAGUAGUUUAUUAGCACAAGACCAAAGUUGCAUUUCAUGGUUAGACACUCAAGCUCCAAAAUCUGUUGCUUAUGUUAGCUCAGGCCUCAGAUGGACUGAUUUUCAAUACUUUUGAAGACCUUGAAGAAACUUCACUGGCCAAAAUACGCCACGAGUAUCUACCCAAUACUCCAAUUUUCCCAAUAGGCCCAUUUCACAAGUAUUCCCCUUCCCCUUCUUCAAAUAGCCUAUUGUCACAAGACCAAAGUUGCAUUUCAUGGCUAAACACUCAAGCACCAAAGUCAGUUGUUUAUGUGAGUUUUGGGACCGUUGCCAAAAUGGAAGAAGCUCAAUUUUUGGAGAUAGCUUGGAGACUAUGCAAUAGCGACCAACCCUUCUUAUGGGUGGUUCGACCUAAUUUAGUCCAUGGAUCGAAUUGGCUCGAACAAUUACCUAGUGGGUUGGUUGAGCCUUUGAACGGGAGGGGACACAUUGUGAAAUGGGCGCCACAAAAUGAAGUGUUGACCCAUCCGGCAGUUGGAGCCUUUUAGACCCACAAGGUUGGAAUUCUACAUUCGAGAGUGUUUGUGAGGGGGUCCCCAUGAUUUGUACGCCAAGUUUCGCCAAUCAAAUGGUUCUUGCAAGAUAUGCGAGUGAAGUUUGGAAGGUCGGGUUGCAGAUUGAAGAUGGGAUUGAGAGAGGUGUGAUUGAAAAAACAAUUAGGAAAGUAAUGGUGGAGAAGGAAGGGGAAGAGAUGAGAGACAGAGCCUUGAAGCUAAUGGAGAAGGCAAAUCUUUGCCUCAAGCAAGGUGGCUCCUCAAACCAAUCUUUGGAUGGGUUGGUUAAACAUAUUUAAUCAUUCAAACCAUUUGGUGUUCUACAAGAAUAACAUAUAAAUAGUUCAUCAAAACUGUUUUGUUCCUGUUUUUUUGUCAAACGAUAUAUUUUGUUAGAUUAAUCAUUAACGGGAUUUGAACCUACAUCGUCAUAUAAGGGCUCAAUACAUUUCCACCAUUAUUGUUCUUUUAUUUUGACAUUUUUUAUUUUAUUUUUUUAUCACAAAUUAACAUUUAUUUAAAACACGGGGCCAAUCCAAAAAAGGCAAAAACCCAACAGAGAUUAAGGAAAUCCAAGUAGACAGAGCCCAGCUCAAUAAGCCCAAAAAAGUGUGUAUUCUAACAAACUAUGAAUAUAUAUAUAUAUAUACACACACACAGAGAGCUUAAGGGGAGGGAUCCCCAUUUUUUGAAAAAAAUGGGGAUUAGGUGUGGGGCCCACUUCACAUCUAAUUUCAACGAUCCGAACCGUCUAUUUUGUUAGUCUCGAUUCAUAUAUCAUCCUUGCAAAAUAUUAGCUAAAUUGGAAAUGUUUAAGACAUCUAAUUGGGUUCAAGGAAAUGAACGAAUACUUUGUUAUAUAAGAAAAUAUGAAAUUUGAUAUUGAUAAUUAAAUAGGCAAAUGAUUUCGGAUUGAAUUGAAUUUUUGCAAGGAUGAUCUAUGAAUCGAGACUAACAAAAUAGACAGUUCGGAUCGUUGAAAUUUGAUGUGAAGUGGGCCCCACACCUAAUCCCCAUUUUUUUCAAAAAAUAGGGAUCCCUCCCCUUAAGCUCUUUGUAUAUAUAUAUAUAUAUAUAUAUAUAUAUAUAUAUAUAUAUAUAUAUAUAUAUAUAUAUAUAUAUAUUAGACAACGAUAGCAGUAAUAGGUCAAAUUAUUGGUUGUUAAAAUGUGAAGAAAAUCGGUAUAGAUCGAACCAGUAUGAUAAUGCAUUAUCAGGAAUGAGGAUCAUCUUCAGAUUUACUUUGUGAAAAUCUAGGAGAUUAUUUAAUCGUGUUUAUUUAUCAUAAAUCUUGUGGUCAAUUUUUGUGAGAUGUUAUUUGUGUUAAAUUUUAAAUAAAAUAUUUAAAAUAAUUUAUGAUUGCAUGAUAUACGAUAAAUAUAUACAAUUAAAGAGUCACCGGAAUCCUAAAAUAGAGGACCUAUCCUAUCCUCAUUCCAUUAUCAGAAUUACUUUAUGCAAAUGGGAUUCAAGAUUUCCUCCACUAUCUUAUUUGCGAGUCUUAUCGUGAGCCUGUAGUUCAGAAAAGAAAAAAAAUCAACAUCAGGGACCCAUUCAGUCAGAAAAAGUUUUAGGAGUUGCGUGAUUAAAUUUGAGACGGCUGCUCUAGCUUAUGUAAAAAGUUCGUCUUCGGUUCGGAUUUUUUUUUAAUAUUUUUUUAAGGAUAAUACCAAAUGAACAAAGUUGCUUAAAAAAUACAGGAGUUUCUGCUCUCACUCAAUAACGAGAAAUUUUUUAAUGAGAACGAAAUACGGGAUAGUACACCACGUAUCACUAUAAAAAUAGUGGGAUAUAUAUAUUAAAAAGUUAAUAAUUAAAAAAACACAAUUUUCCAUCACUUAUAUAAAAAUACGUGAUGUACCAUUUGUAUUCCGAUUACAAUGAAAAUUUUCUCACCAAUAAUAGCUUAACUAGUAUCCGAGUUGUUUGUUCAAGCUCUUAAUUUUCAAUGAUUUUGGACACUCAUCAAGUUGUUAUUGGAUGAGAGCUCCUGCUUGUUUUUUUAUGUAACCAAGCUUUAUUAAUACCAAAUUCAUAUGCUAUGCAAACAAAAAACAAUCUCGAUUCAAAAAUGGAGCAAAGCAAAGGCAGGAGACUGAUCCUUUGCCCACUGCCAUUGCAAGGGCAUAUAAACCCUAUGCUGGAACUGGCCAACAUUCUCCAUUCCAAAGGCUUCUCCGUAGCCAUCAUCCACACCAACUUCAACUCCCUCAAUCCUUCAACCCGAAACCCACACUUCAGCUACCAUUCAACCCCUGUUGACUUGACAGAAACCGAGGCCUCCAUCAAGGAUCUUACCGUUGUUCUUUCUAUUCUAAAUGCUAAAUGUGUUGAGCCUUUCAGAGAAUGUUUGGCCGGGUUGUUAUCCGAUGGCGUUCAUUCGGGGAACCCCAUUGCAUCCUUGAUCUCCGACCCUUUCUUUGACUUCACUCGAUCGGUUGCGGAGAGCUUUGAACUGCCGACGAUCAUGUUAAAGACUGGGGGUGCCGCUUCCUUGGCUGUUUAUGCUGCAUUUCCACUACUCAAGGAAAAGGGUUACCUACCAAUAUCAGGUAAAAUCUCAAGCCAACAAAACCUGUUAUUACAUGUGUUUUAAUUUCAUCAUUGCACAUCUAAAUAAUAUGAGUAGAAUGAGGACACUAUACCAAGACUAAUGUCUCGUUUAGAAUUCUUUCUAUAAGUAAUAUUGUUGUUUUUUAUUCGUAAGAGAUUAUAAAAUGCUUUUGUUAUAAACAUGUCAAAAAUUUUAUUAAAACUCAAGUGCUUCUUGGCAAAAACUUCGAAGUGAUUCUUCUUCUUCUUUAGAAAUAACUACAGAUCCAAAAAUGUUUUGGUAACUACAAAACACUUUUUAACUUGACGGAUAGGGGGACUAAAUAUUUAUUCAAAAUCUUUUCCAUCUAACGUGUAUUAUACAACGGAAUUCAUAGGCUCACAGCCUCACAAGCUAAGCAAGACAGUCGUUCUUAGAAAUUCAAAUGGAGCAGAGCAAAGCCCGGAGAGUGAUACUCUCCCACUGCCAUUCCAAGUGCACAUAUACCCUAUGCUAGAACUGGCCAACAUUCUACACACCAAAGGCUUCUCUAUAACCAUUAUCCACACCCGCUUCAACUCUCUCAACCCUUCAACCCUAAACCUACACUUCACCAACCAUACAAUCCCUGUCGACCUGUCCAAAACCGAGGCCUCCACAAAGAAUUUCCCACUUCUUCGUUCUACCCUAAAUGCUAAAUGUGUCGAACCUUUCAGAGAAUGCUUGGCCGUGUUGUUAUCCGAUGAUGUUACUUCGGAGGAGCCUGUCGCUUGCUUGAUCUCCGACACUUUCUUUG